Molecule: ribosomal RNA, 594 nt
Filed under: uncultured bacterium
Lineage: Bacteria
Description: partial 16S ribosomal RNA
Rfam family: Bacterial small subunit ribosomal RNA
Source: RNAcentral
AGAGUUUGAGUAUCCUUGGCUUAAGGAUAGACAGCUUGGCGGCGUGGCGCUAACACAUUGCAAGUCGAACUGACGGCUUUCUUGUCACCGUUAACGGGAGUAGAUUGGUACCUGAGCGCGCGGAUACGGGGUAGAGUAGCACGUAGUGGCAGACCUACCCUUCUGAGGAGGGACAACUCCGNCAAACCUGGAGGCUAAUAUCACAGCAUUCCGUGUGCACCGUUCGCUAUGGAUGGUGCAAGAACAGCAGCGACAUGCGCAGGAGGAUGGGCCCCGCCGGACUAUCNANCUAGUUGGUGGNGCUAACGGNACUACCAAUGCGAACACGGGCUAGCUGGUGCUGAGAGGACNACCAGCCACNCGAGACGUACUGCGACACGGCACACGUACUACUACGAGGAGGCAGCAGUGAGAGAAUCGUUCCGCUGAUGCGGACGAACAGUCGCUGACGGCAGACAACGCCGCGUGUGAGUGGAUGAAUGUAUUUGCAGGUGAUGUACAACCACUGUACGNCAGGNGGAAGACCACACGGACGGGGACNCACUCGCACAGGAAAGCCCCGGCUAACUACGUNGCCNNCANACGCGGUCAAUA